This is a non-coding RNA of Marasmius oreades (fairy-ring Marasmius), 93 nucleotides long. The record is from the annotation of a RefSeq genome assembly. NCBI's taxonomy places the organism in Eukaryota, Fungi, Basidiomycota, Agaricomycetes, Agaricales, Marasmiaceae.
UCCAAUGUGGUGUAGUGGCUAACAUUGCUGUCUUUCAUUGCUAGAUCACUUAAAUUUACACAGCAGCCCGGGGUUCGAUUCCCCGCAUUGGAA